AGUUCUCAACCAUAUUGAUUUGCUUUGAUGUGGAUUGGAUAUGGGGUUUGCAGGCCUUUUAAAAAGGGUCUGCUUUCCUAAAAUAAAUUAGUGGUGUCUGAGCAGAGACUUACUACAGGUGUGAUAACUAUCUAUGCCUUUGUAAAACACUGUGCACACUGCUUCAAAUCUCAUUGUUGACCA
RNAcentral lists this unclassified non-coding RNA (183 nucleotides) under uncultured Inocybe. RNAcentral's name for it is "sequence contains ITS2". Lineage: Eukaryota; Fungi; Basidiomycota; Agaricomycetes; Agaricales; Cortinariaceae. The record is from RNAcentral.